CAGUAGCCGCGGUAAUACGAAGGGGGCUAGCGUUGCUCGGAAUUACUGGGCGUAAAGGGAGCGUAGGCGGACAUUUAAGUCAGGGGUGAAAUCCCAGAGCUCAACUCUGGAACUGCCUUUGAUACUGGGUGUCUUGAGUGUGAUAGAGGUAUGUGGAACUCCGAGUGUAGAGGUGAAAUUCGUAGAUAUUCGGAAGAACACCAGUGGCGAAGGCGACAUACUGGAUCAUUACUGACGCUGAGGCUCGAAAGCGUGGGGAGCAAACAGGAUUAGAUACCCCAGUAGUCCCUGUCUCUUUACC
This 301-nucleotide ribosomal RNA is filed under the name uncultured bacterium. RNAcentral's name for it is "partial 16S ribosomal RNA". It matches the Rfam family "Bacterial small subunit ribosomal RNA", at positions 509 to 808 of the family's 1533-position model. The record is from RNAcentral.